UCUCCCUGCCUUUUAGGCAUCCUCUCCCAAGACUUCCAAGCCCGGCCGGUUUAUCCAGCCGGGCUUUUUUCUGUCCGCA
This 79-nucleotide small RNA is filed under the name Erythrobacter sp. QSSC1-22B. RNAcentral's name for it is "Makes More Granules Regulator RNA (mmgR)". It matches the Rfam family "Makes More Granules Regulator RNA (mmgR)". From Rfam's summary of the family: SuhB later renamed mmgR (makes more granules regulator) was a putative non-coding RNA found multiple times in the Agrobacterium tumefaciens genome and related alpha-proteobacteria. Other non-coding RNAs uncovered in the same analysis include: speF, ybhL, metA, and serC. Lineage: Bacteria; Pseudomonadati; Pseudomonadota; Alphaproteobacteria; Sphingomonadales; Erythrobacteraceae. The record is from Rfam by way of RNAcentral.